AGAGUUUGAUCCUGGCUCAGGAUGAACGCUAGCGGCAGGCUUAACACAUGCAAGUCGAGGGGCAGCGAGGGUAGCAAUACCUGUCGGCGACCGGCGGAAGGGUGCGUAACGCGUGAGCAACAUUCCCGAGUCUGGAGGAUAACCGGUGGAAACGCCGCCUAAUACUCCAUAACAACAGAGAUGACAUCGUCUUUGUUUAAAAGAUACGUCGGACACGGAUUGGCUCGCGUGACAUUAGCUAGUUGGUGAGGUAACGGCCCACCAAGGCGACGAUGUCUAGGGGCUCUGAGAGGAAGGUCCCCCACAUUGGAACUGAGACACGGUCCAAACUCCUACGGGAGGCAGCAGUGAGGAAUAUUGGUCAAUGGACGGAAGUCUGAACCAGCCAUGCCGCGUGAAGGAAGACGGCCCUAUGGGUUGUAAACUUCUUUUGUGGUGGAGCAAUAAGGUCCACGCGUGGAUCGAUGAGAGUACAUCACGAAUAAGCAUCGGCUAACUCCGUGCCAGCAGCCGCGGUAAUACGGAGGAUGCAAGCGUUAUCCGGAUUUAUUGGGUUUAAAGGGUGCGUAGGCUGUGCAGCAAGUCAGAGGUGAAAGCCCGGGGCUCAACUCCGGAACUGCCUUUGAUACUGUUGUGCUGGAAUACAGAUGCCGUGGGAGGAAUGAGUAGUGUAGCGGUGAAAUGCAUAGAUAUUACUCAGAACACCGAUUGCGAAGGCAUCUCACGAAUCUGUCAUUGACGCUGAGGCACGAAAGCGUGGGGAUCAAACAGGAUUAGAUACCCUGGUAGUCCACGCUGUAAACGA
RNAcentral lists this ribosomal RNA (805 nucleotides) under uncultured bacterium. RNAcentral describes it as "bacterial SSU rRNA". It matches the Rfam family "Bacterial small subunit ribosomal RNA", at positions 8 to 809 of the family's 1533-position model. The record is from RNAcentral.